UGAAGAAGACAACUUUCUACACUUAGAGUAAAUGCAAACAAUUACUUUUCUGGGUCCUCACUGAUUUUUCCAUUUAUCUGCUUCACCUCUCCUCUCUUUCCUUUCUGUUUUCUUCUCUCUCUUUCUCUCUUUCCUUUUCUUUCCCUUUAAUUCUGGCCCCAAAGUAUGGGCUUGGCCAGAGGAAAUACUCAGAAUGAAGGAUUGCAUCUUCCGACCAGAAGCAGGUGCUGAGGAUGGAUAUGACAUCAAAACAGAAGGGUUGAUAGGGAGGAUCAUUAACCAUCAGAGAAAUUGCUAACUGCCCUGGAACACAGCACAUUCUUGGGUGAAAAGUCACUUGAAUGCCUGUUGGAGCCAUCACUAUGGAUUGCCGGCUAUUCUGACUUGGAGUUUGAGGCUGACAUCUGAAACCACAGAAUAGAAACAAUUUUGUGCCAGUUGGAAAAAAAAACUAUUAUGAUUUGAUAGAGGACUAAGAAGAAAUACCAGAGAAGUAGGAGGAAACCCAGAGGGAGAAUUCAUUCCCACAGAAACCAAGGAAAAAGAACAUUUCAAGAAAGACGUAAAGGGAAAUACCAAUUAUUUUGAUGGAAAUUAUUUGAAGGCAUUGGAAUACAAAUCUGUGUGAAGUGAGUUAAAUCUCCGCAAGGCCAAGAUACACUGUGUUUAAUUACACCUUCAUGGAAACUCAAUUAUAUCCUUCUUGCUGAUAGAAAACUGAAUUCCUUAAAAAUUAAAUGAAUUAAAAUUUGUGUAUGACAGGACUAUUAUACCCAUAACAGUUCCACUGCAAGUACAUGAGACUGUCAUGGCAAUAACUGAAAAACUAAAGGAGAUGUCUAUGUAGACAGCUGCUCAUUUACUGCCUGAGGCUCAGAAUCAAUCAUAACUCCAGGUGAACUGAAUCCCUCAGAGCACCAAGGGAAACCUGAGAAGCAUUCCAGGAGACCUCCGUUUGACUGGCUUUUCGGAUAUAUAUAACACAGGCUGAAGUGUGCUGUCAAAACUCAUCAUUUAAGUAUUGUAAACUCCAUUAAAAUAUUCCUUUAAAAGAGAAAGAGCUGCAGACUUGAUACAGGAAGGAUCUCUUCCAUGAUUCUGGGAUUUGGAGCUCAGGUGGUACAACGGUGAUGAAGAUGGAGAUGUGGACGUGGCCAGUGUAAACAUGGUGACUUAGCAGGGAGGACUGAUGAGUGAGGAGAGAGCAGAUGUAAUUGAAAGAGGAGAGGACUAGCCUCAGUACCCUGUGAAACAUUAGCAUUGACUACUGGGCAGGGAAGGAAGAAGCCUCGAAGGGACCUCAGAGGAGUGGUCUCUAUCCCACAGGAGUGUAUACUUUCUUUCCAGUUCUCUUUGGAUCUUUGACAAAGGAAAAUAAAAUCUAUUGUUAAGCAUUAA
Molecule: long non-coding RNA, 1398 nt
Filed under: Homo sapiens (human)
Lineage: Eukaryota; Metazoa; Chordata; Mammalia; Primates; Hominidae
Description: HSALNT0383370
Source: RNAcentral